This 105-nucleotide ribosomal RNA is filed under the name uncultured bacterium. RNAcentral describes it as "partial 16S ribosomal RNA". The record is from RNAcentral.
AAGGCCUUCGGGUUGUAAAGCACUUUUGUCCGGAAAGAAAUCUUCUGCCCUAAUACGGCGGGAGGAUGACGGUACCGGAAGAAUAAGCACCGGCUAACUACGUGC